GGAGGAAUACUCAAAUGGUAAAGAGGCAUGUUUGGAAAAUAUGUAGGUCUUAAAAAAGAUGCGAGGGUUCGAAUCCCUCUUCCUCCGCCA
Molecule: transfer RNA, 90 nt
Filed under: Candidatus Phytoplasma sacchari
Lineage: Bacteria; Bacillati; Mycoplasmatota; Mollicutes; Acholeplasmatales; Acholeplasmataceae
Description: tRNA-Ser
Rfam family: tRNA
About the family: Transfer RNA (tRNA) molecules are approximately 80 nucleotides in length.
Source: RNAcentral